RNAcentral lists this transfer RNA (82 nucleotides) under Cronobacter malonaticus 507. RNAcentral describes it as "tRNA-Leu-CAG". It matches the Rfam family "tRNA". Rfam says of the family: Transfer RNA (tRNA) molecules are approximately 80 nucleotides in length. Their secondary structure includes four short double-helical elements and three loops (D, anti-codon, and T loops). The record is from RNAcentral. Lineage: Bacteria; Pseudomonadati; Pseudomonadota; Gammaproteobacteria; Enterobacterales; Enterobacteriaceae.
GCGAAGGUGGCGGAAUUGGUAGACGCGCUAGCUUCAGGUGUUAGUGUUCCUAAGGGUGGGGGUUCAAGUCCCCCCCCUCGCA